This 773-nucleotide ribosomal RNA is filed under the name uncultured bacterium. RNAcentral's name for it is "bacterial SSU rRNA". It matches the Rfam family "Bacterial small subunit ribosomal RNA", at positions 8 to 796 of the family's 1533-position model. The record is from RNAcentral.
AGAGUUUGAUCAUGGCUCAGGACGAACGCUGGCGGCGUGCUUAACACAUGCAAGUCGAACGGUAAGGCCCUUUCGGGGGUACACGAGUGGCGAACGGGUGAGUAACACGUGGGUGAUCUGCCCUGCACUUCGGGAUAAGCUUGGGAAACUGGGUCUAAUACCGGGUAGGACCAUUGUCUGCAUGGAUGGUGGUGGAAAGCUUUUGCGGUGUGGGAUGGGCCCGCGGCCUAUCAGCUUGUUGGUGGGGUGAUGGCCUACCAAGGCGACGACGGGUAGCCGGCCUGAGAGGGUGUCCGGCCACACUGGGACUGAGAUACGGCCCAGACUCCUACGGGAGGCAGCAGUGGGGAAUAUUGCACAAUGGGCGCAAGCCUGAUGCAGCGACGCCGCGUGGGGGAUGACGGCCUUCGGGUUGUAAACCUCUUUCAGCAUCGACGAAGCGCAAGUGACGGUAGAUGCAGAAGAAGCACCGGCCAACUACGUGCCAGCAGCCGCGGUAAUACGUAGGGUGCGAGCGUUGUCCGGAAUUACUGGGCGUAAAGAGCUCGUAGGUGGUUUGUCGCGUUGUUCGUGAAAACUCACAGCUUAACUGUGGGCGUGCGGGCGAUACGGGCAGACUGGAGUACUGCAGGGGAGACUGGAAUUCCUGGUGUAGCGGUGGAAUGCGCAGAUAUCAGGAGGAACACCGGUGGCGAAGGCGGGUCUCUGGGCAGUAACUGACGCUGAGGAGCGAAAGCGUGGGGAGCGAACAGGAUUAGAUACCCUAGUAGUCC